Balaenoptera ricei (Rice's whale) is the source of this 240-nucleotide long non-coding RNA. RefSeq lists it as uncharacterized. The record is from RefSeq and is a predicted model, not a curated record. The transcript has 3 exons. NCBI's taxonomy places the organism in Eukaryota, Metazoa, Chordata, Mammalia, Artiodactyla, Balaenopteridae.
GGUGAAUGGCAGGUGGGCCCCAGAAGUCAAUUUCCCAUUGGGCAAGCGCAAUGUCCAUGCUCUGCAGAAACUUAGGAACUGUUACAGAACUUUACAGAAAAGAGGACAACACUUUAGAUGAAACCUGCCUGCUGACCAUGGAACUAAAUAAAUAUGAUCAGGCAGACUUUUAACUGGAAUACUUGAAGCCCCAUCGUUCUCUAAGAUGAAGAACGAGGAGCGUAAAACCAGUCUUCAACC